GACGAACGCUGGCGGCGUGCUUAACACAUGCAAGUCGAACGGAAAGACCCUGCUUUUGUGGGGUGCUCGAGUGGCGAACGGGUGAGUAACACGUGAGUAACCUGCCCUUGACUUUGGGAUAACUUCAGGAAACUUGGGCUAAUACCGGAUAGGAGCUCCUGCUGCAUGGUGGGGGUUGGAAAGUUUCGGCGGUUGGGGAUGGACUCGCGGCUUAUCAGCUUGUUGGUGGGGUAGUGGCUUACCAAGGCUUUGACGGGUAGCCGGCCUGAGAGGGUGACCGGCCACAUUGGGACUGAGAUACGGCCCAGACUCCUACGGGAGGCAGCAGUGGGGAAUAUUGCACAAUGGGCGGAAGCCUGAUGAAGCAACGCCGCGUGCAGGAUGACGACCUUCGGGUUGUAAACCGCUUUCGCCUGUGACGAAGCGUGAGUGACGGUAAUGGGUAAAGAAGCACCGGCUAACUACGUG
This 468-nucleotide ribosomal RNA is filed under the name uncultured bacterium. RNAcentral's name for it is "partial 16S ribosomal RNA". It matches the Rfam family "Bacterial small subunit ribosomal RNA", at positions 28 to 507 of the family's 1533-position model. The record is from RNAcentral.